RNAcentral lists this long non-coding RNA (1018 nucleotides) under Marmota monax (woodchuck). Lineage: Eukaryota; Metazoa; Chordata; Mammalia; Rodentia; Sciuridae. The record is from RNAcentral.
CUCCCUCCCUCCUUUCUCUCUGCUUUCUUCCAGAAUGGCAUCUGGGCAUAAGGGGGUGGCAUAUGAGCUAUAUGGUUUAGAUGCUGUCCCCUACCUUUUGCUGGUCUUCACUGACAUGUGGCUACUCCAGACUUUUCCCAGGGCAUUAUGGAUUAUGGCUGAACCCACCAGGACAGGACUGGCCUGGAUUAGGUCCUGAGCAGCACACUGACCAACUUUGAAUUCUGAAACUUGCCAGUGUUUCCAGUCCUGAGGUCCUCAUGUGCCAUGGCCUCACAGCUUAUCAUCUGGCCUCUCUUCAUCCCUCUACUAGCAUACCACUGGGCCAUAUGGACAACUCCAGAUCACCCACAUGGCACUCGCAGACCAAGGGGAAGUGUGGAGUUGCUACUGCCCACCAUACCGUCUCCCAGAGCUCUCUUACAGCUUCUCUGUCAGCUUGGCUGUUUGGCAUAUCAGGGGACAGCUCCUCCAAGAGGCCAGUGCCCUCCCUGGUCUGUGUUGGGGGAAGUAGCCACCAGUGCCCUCCAAGCCUGUGUCUUCAUCACCAACCAGGAUUUGACCUGUGAGGAGGGGGACUGCAACACUUGCUUCUGAACUCUCGUCUUGCCUUUUCCUUCUCAACAGCAUCAGAAGGCCCUUUUCACUUCCUGCUGCAUGGGAUCUUGUCCUUGAUCUUACGCCAUGUCAUCUUCACCCUGUGGUUUAUAGAAAUCUAUCCUCUCAUCUCCAAAUUGUGUUCUUGAUCUGCAGAAGAAAGAUUUCUGAAAUUAGGAAAUUUUCUCCAACGAAGCCAGAUAUUAAGAUGUGUCUCACCAUGGACUCAAGAAAACAGAAUUCCAAUCUCAGGACUGAGCAAUGGUGGCCUGAGUGACAGAGGCCAUUGAUGGAGAUCUACUAGCUGGGGAUCUGCAUGCUAACGAAGAAUCCAAAAUUAUUAGCAACCAAGUUCACUUGGGGGAUGGGGGGUUGGGGCUGUAGCUCAGUAGCAGGGCACUUGCCUAGCAUGUUGAGGCAC